RNAcentral lists this long non-coding RNA (3884 nucleotides) under Hordeum vulgare. RNAcentral's name for it is "long non-coding RNA (HVUL_LNC007667)". The record is from RNAcentral. Lineage: Eukaryota; Viridiplantae; Streptophyta; Magnoliopsida; Poales; Poaceae.
GACUCAAAUAAUAUUCAUAGAUAAUCUGAUCAUAAAUCCAUAAUUCAUCGGAUCUUGACAAACACACCGCAAAAGAAAAUUACAUCGGAUAGAUCUCCAUGAAGAUCAUGGAGAACUGUCGGGGGAAUGAUCCCCAGGUACCCCAAAGACGCAGAGUCGAGCGGGGUGCCUGCCCGCCCAGGCCGGCUGCUCCCAUUCCUCCCACGGACGGCUCCUCUGACUAGCCGGCUACGCCAGCCAGACGGCUGCCCGGAGUCAACUACGACAUCCCUCCGGGCAUCGUACUAUUUCAUCUACAGUGUAACUUGUCCCCUGGGCGCUGGUUUAUAAAGUGCCCCAGGGGACAAGCAUAGCUUAGCUCCAAAGCUACAUAUAGCUUGGCAUGUAAGCUACCCACGAUAGCCUACAUGCCAAGUAGCUUGGGAUGUAAGCUACCCACCGUAGCUUACAUACCAAGCUACGCAUCCAUACAAAAGGCCUUAGGCUGCCCUCUCAUCCUCUCAAGCUCUCAACCCCCCACAUACACACACCCAGACAUGAGGCCAAGGAGAAGGCGCUCAGCUCCCUUCCUCCUCCAAUACAGCUCCGGGAGCAACCUUGUACUGCCAAUAUACGUCAUAUACACACAUGCAGGAGUAGGGGUAUUAUCUCUCUAGAGAGCCCCGAACCUGGGUAAACCACCGCAUGUUAUUACCCUAUCCCGUCCCGGAUCCUCCACGACAGCCUUGCCCUCACCUCGAUUAGCCAUCCCAUGGAAUAUGCCGUCAGGGUACCCCAUAUAUGAAAACAACGACAUUUGGCGCCCACCAUGGGGCCAGCUGCUGCUGGAACCGCGGUCCGGGCGAGACCCUCUUCAUCAUCACCACCGCGACGUCGCCGCCAUCUCUCCGGCGUUGCUCGAGGGCUCGACAUCGGCACGCCCCCGGCGCACCGUGCAGGGUGGCGCGUUCGUGUCAUUCGCCUUCGGACCGCUCCUGCGAUCGUCGGCUCCCUCUCCAGGCCAGUCGAUGUUCCGUAUAUUGGCUCCAUUCCGCCUUCCCACGCUCCCGCGGAUGGCUCCCCGCACACGUCCGCUGGCCGGCUGGGCGUGCAUGUAUCUGGUGGCUGCAUGGGUUGGGCGCAUGUAUGCGCGUACGGCUGGAUGUUUGGCAUGCUUUGGCUGGCUGAACUAGCCGGCUAUCCUGGCCAUUGCAUGCUUAAGUCUAGUCAUCCGGCUCCGUCCACCACUCUGCCUGCGUGUUGCCGGUUCGCGUCGUUGCCGACUCGGCCACCUACGGCUGUGCCCCGGGCGCCGGCUCCACACCCACGUUUGCCACCAUGGCGCCCGGCCUCCACACCACCCUGGUGCAGCCCCGGCUGCGCCCCCGAGCACGCCUCAGCUCCGCCUCAGCGCGUUGUCGGCUCCUCUCCCCCGCGCCAUCGAUCGUUGUCGCGCCUUUCGCCGGCUCCGGCCACGCCCCCGUCGGCUCCGACCGUCCAUAUGUCGGCUCGUAACCGGAUGGCGCAAGAGGGAGUUGGUCGUCCAAGUCUGGCUUAGGCGGAUAAAGCAAUGAAAGUAAAGAAGUAUGAUGCAUGCAUGGACGUGAUGUGUGGUGCGGGCAUGGCUCUCAUGCGUGCGUAGCCUACGUGGCCAGCGAGCUCUGGCCGACUGCAUGGCCUGGCCGGCCGGCUGUGUGCUCGCCUGCCUGGCCGGCUGCCCGUUUGAUCGGGUGCAGGCCUGGCCGGCGGUGCUACAUACGUGCACGGCCCGACCUCACGGAGGGUCUCCUCCGCGCCUCCGUCGGGCUAGCUCCGACCACCGUCAGCCGCGCACCGGCUCGCCGUUCAGGCCGGCCUUCACACGCUGGUCCGUGCGCACGCUGGCCCCGCCCGCACCGCCUCGUUCCUUCAGCUCUGUGAUCGCGGACCGCUCCUCUACUACAACUAUUGGCUCUGUGAGCCGGCUAGAAGAAAAAAAUAUGGAGUGGGCGCCGGACCGACUCGGGUCGUCUGUCUACUUCGACACAGGGCUGACUCCGAUUGCCCGUCUACUUCGACGCCGGGCCGAUUCAGGUCGCCCAUCUGCUUCAACAACGGGCCGACUCCGAUCGCCCAUCUUCUUUGACUCCCGGCGUGCUGGCAUAACCACCGACCGCCAGAGACUCGGCGGCUACAUCCAGCAGGUGCCCCGACGCGCUCCGUUGGGAAAAGGCUACAACAACAGCCUUGCCGACUUCAAAAAAACAAUGUGAUAUGUUCAUCCACAUAUUUUUACACCAUGCACAGAAUAUGGAUACCCCGAGCGACCCUCGGAGGCCAUCCCUGCAUCUGUUUCAGUUGCUUUACUGUUCACCCCGGUGCGAGCUAGUCUCGGCCCGGGGUUGGCCGUUUGGCCCGAUACGUUUGUUUCCACGGGACGACUUAGUAGCAUGUACGGUACCGAAGGCCCACUCUUUGUCUCAGCUACAGACCGCACCCCGGCUGUCCGGCUAGCGAGAGCAAAAGCCGGAGGUCACCACACGCGAAAAACGCCCAGGGAGAAGACGGCUUGGGCGACACGGUCGUUUCAUUUGUGAGUAUCUGCUCGGUCGAGUGUGCUCCCAGAGUCCGAGUACUGUACGCACCAUUCCACAGCCCAAUCUUCGCCUCAGCUACAGACCGGCUCGCUGCUGUCCGGCUAGCUAGAGCAAAAGCCAAAGAGCGGGGAGAACAUGAAAAAGACUUAAGGGGGCUCGGUUGAAACCGAGCCGACGCCCUUUGCACAAACUUGCACUCCCAAAACCAAAUAUUAGACAUGUCUGCGUCGAUUAACCUUGUCUUUUGCAUGAUCAUCUUGGCGGGAACCUCCCAUCACCCCGCUGGUUGGAGCUCGGCCGACCUCCGGCCGCUGGCUACUCCUGUCCGGCUAGGGCAUUGCCGGCUAUGGCACGUAGCCAGCCAACAUCAUCAACAUCUGCUACAACAAUAGCAAGAAGCCUCUGCAAGACUCUCCAAGUUGCCCAGAGGCUUGGAGGCUACACCCAGCGGGUGCGCUUGCGCGCCCCCGAUGGAAACAGUCAGACGAUGGACUCUGCGUCCGUGCUCGGCAGCGCCUCGCACGCACCAGCCAGCGGACCCCGCGUCCGCGCCCGGCAGCGCCUCGCGCGCACCAGUCGGCGGACAUUGCGUCUGCGCCCGACAUCCCCGAUGCUACCGUCUACUCCAACAACAGCAAAGACCCUCCGCCCAACUCUUCGAGUCGCCCGGAGGCCCGGAGGCAACACCCAGCGGGUGCGCUGGCGCGCCCCCGCUGAAAACAAGCCACGCCCUCCCUAUUGUAAAAGAACACAUAGUGUAAGUUGGCUGAUCCCUGGUCACCCCGUACGAGCUUGCGGACUGGCUCCGGCCGUCUGGCUUGCGAGGUGACGCCAGGUAAGGCCGGAUGCAUGCAAAGUUCGGCUACAAAGGGUCGCCGGCCGGGGCUCGGAGGCUACGCAGCGCACACCCCUUGCUGGCUUUAACAUGCUCGGGGGCUCGCUGGCCGCUCGGACGCCCUCCCUAUUGUAAAAGAACACAUAGUUUAAGCCCACUGAUCCCUGGUCACCCUGUACGAGCUUGCGGACUGGCUCCGGUGGUCUGGCUUGCGAGGUGACGCCAGGUAAGGCCGGACGCAUGCAAAGUUCGGCUACAAAGGGUCGCCGGCUUGGGCUCGGAGGCUACGCAGCGCACGCCCCUUGCUGGCUUUAACAAGCUCGAGUUGGAGCGCCCACGCUGAAAACAAGCCACGCCGUCCCCGGCUUGCAAUCGACUGUCAUCAACAACUUCCGCCUCCCAUUGCGGGCACGGCCGGCUCCUCUGACCAGCCGGCUACGCCAGCCAGACGGCUGCCCGGAGUCAACUACGACGUCCCCCCGGGCAUCGUACUG